ACGGCGAGUGAAGCGGCAACAGCUCAAAUUUGAAAUCUGGCUCUUUCAGGGUCCGAGUUGUAAUUUGCAGAGGGCGCUUUGGCGUUGGCAGCGGUCCAAGUUCCUUGGAACAGGACGUCACAGAGGGUGAGAAUCCCGUACGUGGUCGCUAACCUUCGCCGUGUAAAGCCCCUUCGACGAGUCGAGUUGUUUGGGAAUGCAGCUCUAAAUGGGAGGUAAAUUUCUUCUAAAGCUAAAUACUGGCCAGAGACCGAUAGCGCACAAGUAGAGUGAUCGAAAGAUGAAAAGCACUUUGGAAAGAGAGUCAAAUAGCACGUGAAAUUGUUGAAAGGGAAGCGCUUGCAGCCAGACUUGCCUGUAGUUGCUCAUCCGGACUUUUGUCCGGUGCACUCUUCUGCGGGCAGGCCAGCAUCAGUUUGGGCGGUUGGAGAAAGGUCUCUAUCACGUACCUCCCUUCGGGGUGGCCUUAUAGGGGAGACGUCAUGCAACCAGCCUGGACUGAGGUCCGCGCAUCUGCUAGGAUGCUGGCGUAAUGGCUGUAAGCGGCCCGUCUUGAAACACGGACCAAGGAGUCUAACAUCUAUGCGAGUGUUUGGGUGUCAAGCCCGAGCGCGUAAUGAAAGUGAACGGAGGUGGGAACCCUUAAGGGUGCACCAUCGACCGAUCCUGAUGUCUUCGGAUGGAUUUGAGUAAGAGCAUGGCUGUUGGGACCCGAAAGAUGGUGAACUAUGCUUGAAUAGGGUGAAGCCAGAGGAAACUCUGGUGGAGGCUCGCAGCGGUUCUGACGUGCAAAUCGAUCGUCAAAUUUGGGCAUAGGGGCGAAAGACUAAUCG
This 833-nucleotide ribosomal RNA is filed under the name Coniothyrium hakeae. RNAcentral's name for it is "eukaryotic LSU rRNA". It matches the Rfam family "Eukaryotic large subunit ribosomal RNA", at positions 86 to 937 of the family's 3401-position model. The record is from RNAcentral. Lineage: Eukaryota; Fungi; Ascomycota; Dothideomycetes; Pleosporales; Coniothyriaceae.